GACUACACAUGCAAGUCGAGCGGUAACACAGGGAGCUUGCUCCUGGGUGACGAGCGGCGGACGGGUGAGUAAUGUCUGGGAAACUGCCUGAGGGAGGGGGAUAACUACUGGAAACGGUAGCUAAUACCGCAUAACGUCGCAAGACCAAAGAGGGGGACCUUCGGGCCUCUUGCCAUCAGAUGUGCCCAGAUGGGAUUAUCUAGUAGGUGGGGUAAUGGCUCACCUAGGCGACGAUCCCUAGCUGGUCUGAGAGGAUGACCAGCCACACUGGAACUGAGACACGGUCCAGACUCCUACGGGAGGCAGCAGUGGGGAAUAUUGCACAAUGGGCGCAAGCCUGAUGCAGCCAUGCCGCGUGUAUGAAGAAGGCCUUCGGGUUGUAAAGUACUUUCAGCGAGGAGGAAGGCAUUAAGGUUAAUAACCUUGGUGAUUGACGUUACUCGCACAAAAAGCACCGGCUAACUCCGUGCCAGCAGCCGCGGUAAUACGGAGGGUGCAAGCGUUAAUCGGAAUUACUGGGCGUAAAGCGCACGCAGGCGGUCUGUCAAGUCGGAUGUGAAAUCCCCGGGCUCAACCUGGGAACUGCAUUCGAAACUGGCAGGCUAGAGUCUUGUAGAGGGGGGGUAGAAUUCCAGGUGUAGCGGUGAAAUGCGUAGAGAUCUGGAGGAAUACCGGUGGCGAAGGCGGCCCCCUGGGACAAAGACUGACG
RNAcentral lists this ribosomal RNA (709 nucleotides) under Enterobacter soli. RNAcentral describes it as "bacterial SSU rRNA". It matches the Rfam family "Bacterial small subunit ribosomal RNA", at positions 47 to 745 of the family's 1533-position model. Lineage: Bacteria; Pseudomonadati; Pseudomonadota; Gammaproteobacteria; Enterobacterales; Enterobacteriaceae. The record is from RNAcentral.